This 346-nucleotide unclassified non-coding RNA is filed under the name soil metagenome. Its description in RNAcentral is "partial contains 5.8S ribosomal RNA, internal transcribed spacer 2, and large subunit ribosomal RNA". The stretch from base 1 to 120 matches the Rfam family "5.8S ribosomal RNA", at positions 35 to 154 of the family's 154-position model. The record is from RNAcentral.
GAUGAAGAACGUAGCGAAAUGCGAUAAGUAAUGUGAAUUGCAGAAUUCAGUGAAUCAUCGAAUCUUUGAACGCACAUUGCGCCCUUGGGCAUUCCUAGGGGCAUGCCUGUCCGAGCGUCAUAAGCAAAACUCGAGCCUUUUCUGCUCGGUGUUGGGCGUGUCGUCACGCAUCUGUGGCGCGCCUAAAAGUUCAGGGCAGUCGCCUCUGGACCUCAAGCGUAGUAGAAUCCUCGCUAUGUUUUCCAGAAAGCAACUAGCCAGACCCGCAGGGGUUGCCAAAAAACGUAUUUGACCUCGGAUCAGGUAGGGACACCCGCUGAACUUAAGCAUAUCAAUAAGCGGAGGA